GCCAUCUCUCAAUUGCAAGUUGUGUACGGGAAAAUAUCAGACCAGCAGCGUAUUCACUGUUCGUGCAAAUCCGUGGGCAUUAGUGCCUAUACGCGCUGCACGUAAGCUAAUUUUCCGUACACAAUACUUUGUAGUCCUACGCACAUUCUGCGGUCUGACUGUUGUCUGUCGCUACAAUAAGCCUUUAAACAGUAGGAUAGUACUGAUAAGAGCACAUGACCGUUUCCGCAUGAGGAGAACCUGUUUUCCAGAUUUCCGAGGACUUUUGCACAGAUGUCUGAAAAUGUUCAUUUGUUGAGUGCUUUAAUUCGUUGAAUGAUUCAUGUCCGUCAAUCAUGGGCCCAUUAUCUCCACAUUCAAACCUUUGGGGGCUGCAGGUUCUCUUCGUUUUUGGCAGCAUGAUUGUGCAAACAUUUUCCGUGGAAUGCUAUAAAUGCAGAGUAGAAAACAUGGACGCUUGUUCUGAAAUCAGACCACACCAAAUAAUUAGUUGUCCAAAGACAACCAGUUACUGUAUUUACUUAAACACCCAGUUCGCGAUCGGAUCAGACUCAAACGGGUCUGGAACUGUUAAAAGAGACUGUGGUUUCCCCGAUGGAUCACCAAUAACGAGGAUGUAUUUAAAUGGAACUCUAAACUUCGCUAACAGCGAUCCGAAUAACCUGUCGGAAGCAUUUUAUUUUACCGAAAUGGAGACUUGUUUCACGAAUGCUUGCAACAGUAAAACACCAGAUCGCGGUAACUGAAGGCGUUCGGUGCCGGUUCAAACUUUCUGCAAUCCACAUCCACGUAAAAUGGCAUCGGGAGAGUUUUAUUUUUUGACAUAAGCUGGGAAUAUGCAGAAAAUAGAUAACAAACCACAAAAAAAUAUAAAUUUUCGGACUUACGAUAACAAUCUGCUUGACAAUCAGAUUAAUCCUGGUUCAUGCAACUCUUGAUGUCAUAAUAAAAUACAGUAUCA
This is a long non-coding RNA of Paramacrobiotus metropolitanus, 961 nucleotides long. RefSeq lists it as uncharacterized. The transcript is spliced from 3 exons. The record is from RefSeq and is a predicted model, not a curated record. NCBI's taxonomy places the organism in Eukaryota, Metazoa, Tardigrada, Eutardigrada, Parachela, Macrobiotidae.